Daphnia carinata is the source of this 1893-nucleotide long non-coding RNA. RefSeq lists it as uncharacterized. Lineage: Eukaryota; Metazoa; Arthropoda; Branchiopoda; Diplostraca; Daphniidae. The record is from RefSeq and is a predicted model, not a curated record. The transcript is spliced from 5 exons.
AAGAAACUAAGGUAACUUGCCUCAUAAUAAUAUUAUCUUCGAUAUAUGUAACAGUAAUUGCUAAUGGCUUCGUACAUAGUUGAUGCCAAAAAAAGAAAAACUGGUCGUUGAACUACGCCUGAAACUUCUGUCCGUAUAAUUUACCCAAACAUUCUCUAUAGUAAUUGGCCCAAGGCGAGCAAGUAUAGAACGAGCAUUUAACCCUUCAGGACAGUGUUCCCGGCGUUGUUUGAUUAGCUUGAAUGUUUUUAGAAUUUUAUAUUCUUUGAUUGAACUCUGGCUCUUCUAUUUACUAUAGCAAUUUCUUAUAAUAAGCAGCCGUUGGGAUCAGACUCCCGCUCGCAUGACAUCAGUCUAUGCCUUUCUACUACGUAUGCUAUUUACAUAGGAAAGUUUUGCCGCGUAAAAAUUUGAUGUCAGCACAACAGGCUGAUCUUCAUCCACGUAGAGAUGAUCGUCAUCAAGACUGUUUGGAUUUCUUCCUUCAUCCGUUUCCAUCGCGACUCUCCGCCGUCUCCGGGCCGCUACUGUCGUCGUUGCAAUAGCGAUCAAAUAAAGCAGUAAAAGCGACAAAGCUAACAACGCCAAUAUAGGCAAGAGGUCAUCCUUUUUGUCGCAACAACCGUAACUACUUCCACCGCCAUAACUACUCCCGCCGUAACUGCUCCCACCACCGUAACCAGAGGACGAAGAAUAGCCACCGCCGUAACCACUUCGAUCGGCUUGCAUCUCUUCUGGAUAUUUGUUGUACUGAUUGUACAUUGGAGGACGCCUGCCAGCACCCCGUUUUCUGCUCUGACCGAACACUUCUCUGGCCACCCGCUUAUUCAGUCUUGAUGUGGAGAUCUCAAAAUUUUUCUUCUGGAAGAUACCCAUCAAAGGUGUUACGUAGAGCAGCAUCCGUUUCAAUUCGAGCUCCGAUUCAAGUUCAUCUUCCACUUCUUCAGCUGCGUUGUUGUCUAGUAAUUUAUUGUAGGAAAAAGAGGCCAUAUUGCCCUCAGUUGCGGCAGUCUGUCCGUCCAUCGAGUGGUCGGCUGCGUGACCGGCAAUAAAAAUCAACAGUAGACUACACACAGUUUGUGUGCCAAUGAACUUGAUCAUUUUGUUUACCUUCCGAGUUAACUAGAAUAUGCAAGCGUUUUAGAAGCAGGAAUGGAGAUGGGCAGACUGCAUUUGCCACUGGAUGAAAAUUAACUGACUGAAGCUGCGUAUCUGUGAAUGUGCUUCACUUCCAUAGAAGUACAGUGUUAACGUUAGACUGGACAUCCUCCCGGAAGCUCCUCCUCUCGCUGCGACCCAGCAGGCAAAAGACUCUAGAAAUCAAUUGUUGUUUCUUGCGUGCAGCAUAUAAAUGUAACGGUACAAGAUGUUGGUUCAACUUCUUUAGUUAAUCCGCACAUGAUCCCACGAAGAGACGGUAAUUUUAUUGUAAGCAGUAGACCCUGCGGAGCUAGUAUUAUACAUGCAAAAAAUUAAUCUAUGGAUUUCCUUGACUGCCCUCCGAUCGUUACAGAUACGUAUUAUAAAAUAGCAGACUACAUUAACGAUUUAUUGGCCAUGCCCAGGUGGAAGGACAUCGCUAUCGAUAUGUACCGUCAGCGACGUAAAGAAUAGUGCUACUAGAAAAUAGACGUCAGAAAAUGCAUCUUUACAAAUAAAGUGACAGCAUUACAUCAAGCGUAGAUUACGGCGGAAUCAAUGAGACGUGACGCAAGUGCAUUUAUUGCACGGCAAUAAAUCACGGGAGAGCAGCACCUGUUGGCUUUGCCAGUUGCUACACUAUCGACUAGUUGAGCGGAAAAAAUUCGGAGCCGACAGGUCUUGGGCUUGUCAACCAUGAUGCUUCGGCAAAAUUAUACUGCCUCUCACAUUCGUCAAGAAAAACAAAAUAAA